GAUGAACGCUGGCGGCGUGCCUAAUACAUGCAAGUCGAGCGAACAGACGAGGAGCUUGCUCCUCUGACGUUAGCGGCGGACGGGUGAGUAACACGUGGAUAACCUACCUAUAAGACUGGAUAACUUCGGGAAACCGGAGCUAAUACCGGAGAAUAUAUUGAACCGCAUGGUUCAAUAGUGAAAGACGGUUUUGCUGUCACUUAUAGAUGGAUCCGCGCCGCAUUAGCUAGUUGGUAAGGUAACGGCUUACCAAGGCAACGAUGCGUAGCCGACCUGAGAGGGUGAUCGGCCACACUGGAACUGAGACACGGUCCAGACUCCUACGGGAGGCAGCAGUAGGGAAUCUUCCGCAAUGGGCGAAAGCCUGACGGAGCAACGCCGCGUGAGUGAUGAAGGUCUUCGGAUCGUAAAACUCUGUUAUUAGGGAAGAACAAAUGUGUAAGUAACUAUGCACGUCUUGACGGUACCUAAUCAGAAAGCCACGGCUAACUACGUG
This 496-nucleotide ribosomal RNA is filed under the name uncultured bacterium. Its description in RNAcentral is "partial 16S ribosomal RNA". It matches the Rfam family "Bacterial small subunit ribosomal RNA", at positions 28 to 507 of the family's 1533-position model. The record is from RNAcentral.